Molecule: ribosomal RNA, 1186 nt
Filed under: Escherichia coli
Lineage: Bacteria; Pseudomonadati; Pseudomonadota; Gammaproteobacteria; Enterobacterales; Enterobacteriaceae
Description: partial 23S ribosomal RNA
Rfam family: Bacterial large subunit ribosomal RNA
Source: RNAcentral
GGUUAAGCGACUAAGCGUACACGGUGGAUGCCCUGGCAGUCAGAGGCGAUGAAGGACGUGCUAAUCUGCGAUAAGCGUCGGUGAGGUGAUAUGAACCGUUAUAACCGGCGAUUUCCGAAUGGGGAAACCCAGUGUGUUUCGACACACUAUCAUUAACUGAAUCCAUAGGUUAAUGAGGCGAACCGGGGGAACUGAAACAUCUAAGUACCCCGAGGAAAAGAAAUCAACCGAGAUUCCCCCAGUAGCGGCGAGCGAACGGGGAGGAGCCCAGAGCCUGAAUCAGUGUGUGUGUUAGUGGAAGCGUCUGGAAAGGCGCGCGAUACAGGGUGACAGCCCCGUACACAAAAAUGCACAUAUUGUGAGCUCGAUGAGUAGGGCGGGACACGUGGUAUCCUGUCUGAAUAUGGGGGGACCAUCCUCCAAGGCUAAAUACUCCUGACUGACCGAUAGUGAACCAGUACCGUGAGGGAAAGGCGAAAAGAACCCCGGCGAGGGGAGUGAAAAAGAACCUGAAACCGUGUACGUACAAGCAGUGGGAGCCUCUUAAUGGGGUGACUGCGUACCUUUUGUAUAAUGGGUCAGCGACUUAUAUUCUGUAGCAAGGUUAACCGAAUAGGGGAGCCGAAGGGAAACCGAGUCUUAACUGGGCGUUAAGUUGCAGGGUAUAGACCCGAAACCCGGUGAUCUAGCCAUGGGCAGGUUGAAGGUUGGGUAACACUAACUGGAGGACCGAACCGACUAAUGUUGAAAAAUUAGCGGAUGACUUGUGGCUGGGGGUGAAAGGCCAAUCAAACCGGGAGAUAGCUGGUUCUCCCCGAAAGCUAUUUAGGUAGCGCCUCGUGAAUUCAUCUCCGGGGGUAGAGCACUGUUUCGGCAAGGGGGUCAUCCCGACUUACCAACCCGAUGCAAACUGCGAAUACCGGAGAAUGUUAUCACGGGAGACACACGGCGGGUGCUAACGUCCGUCGUGAAGAGGGAAACAACCCAGACCGCCAGCUAAGGUCCCAAAGUCAUGGUUAAGUGGGAAACGAUGUGGGAAGGCCCAGACAGCCAGGAUGUUGGCUUAGAAGCAGCCAUCAUUUAAAGAAAGCGUAAUAGCUCACUGGUCGAGUCGGCCUGCGCGGAAGAUGUAACGGGGCUAAACCAUGCACCGAAGCUGCGGCAGCGACACUAUGUGUUGUUGGGU